RNAcentral lists this ribosomal RNA (433 nucleotides) under uncultured bacterium. RNAcentral describes it as "partial 16S ribosomal RNA". It matches the Rfam family "Bacterial small subunit ribosomal RNA", at positions 29 to 507 of the family's 1533-position model. The record is from RNAcentral.
AACGAACGCUGGCGGCAUGCCUAACACAUGCAAGUCGAACGAGACCUUCGGGUCUAGUGGCGCACGGGUGCGUAACGCGUGGGAACCUGCCCUUAGGUUCGGAAUAACUCCCCGAAAGGGGUGCUAAUACCGGAUAAUGUCUUCGGACCAAAGAUUUAUCGCCUUUGGAUGGGCCCGCGUUGGAUUAGCUAGUUGGUAGGGUAAAAGCCUACCAAGGCGACGAUCCAUAGCUGGUCUGAGAGGAUGAGCAGCCACACUGGGACUGAGACACGGCCCAGAAUCCUACGGGAGGCAGCAGUGGGGAAUAUUGGACAAUGGGCGAAAGCCUGAUCCAGCAAGGCCGCGUGAGUGAUGAAGGCCUGAGGGUUGUAAAGCUCUUUUACCCGGGAUGAUAAUGACAGUACCGGGAGAAUAAGCUCCGGCUAACUCCGUG